AACGAACGCUGGCGGCAUGCCUAACACAUGCAAGUCGAACGAGACCUUCGGGUCUAGUGGCGCACGGGUGCGUAACGCGUGGGAACCUGCCCUUAGGUUCGGAAUAAUUCCCCGAAAGGGGUGCUAAUACCGGAUAAUGUCUUCGGACCAAAGAUUUAUCGCCUUUGGAUGGGCCCGCGUUGGAUUAGCUAGUUGGUAGGGUAAAAGCCUACCAAGGCGACGAUCCAUAGCUGGUCUGAGAGGAUGAUCAGCCACACUGGGACUGAGACACGGCCCAGACUCCUACGGGAGGCAGCAGUGGGGAAUAUUGGACAAUGGGCGAAAGCCUGAUCCAGCGAUGCCGCGUGAGUGAUGAAGGCCUUAGGGUUGUAAAGCUCUUUUACCCGGGAUGAUAAUGACAGUACCGGGAGAAUAAGCUCCGGCUAACUCCGUG
Molecule: ribosomal RNA, 433 nt
Filed under: uncultured bacterium
Lineage: Bacteria
Description: partial 16S ribosomal RNA
Rfam family: Bacterial small subunit ribosomal RNA
Source: RNAcentral